GAGUUUGAUCUUGGCUCAGAUUGAACGCUGGCGGCAUGCCUUACACAUGCAAGUCGAACGGCAGCAUGAUCUAGCUUGCUAGAUUGAUGGCGAGUGGCGAACGGGUGAGUAAUACAUCGGAACGUGCCCUGUAGUGGGGGAUAACUAGUCGAAAGAUUAGCUAAUACCGCAUACGACCUGAGGGUGAAAGUGGGGGACCGCAAGGCCUCAUGCUAUAGGAGCGGCCGAUGUCUGAUUAGCUAGUUGGUGGGUAAAGGCCCACCAAGGCGACGAUCAGUAGCUGGUCUGAGAGGACGAUCAGCCACACUGGGACUGAGACACGGCCCAGACUCCUACGGGAGGCAGCAGUGGGGAAUUUUGGACAAUGGGCGAAAGCCUGAUCCAGCAAUGCCGCGUGUGUGAAGAAGGCCUCGG
This 414-nucleotide ribosomal RNA is filed under the name uncultured microorganism. RNAcentral describes it as "bacterial SSU rRNA". It matches the Rfam family "Bacterial small subunit ribosomal RNA", at positions 9 to 420 of the family's 1533-position model. The record is from RNAcentral.